RNAcentral lists this ribosomal RNA (454 nucleotides) under uncultured bacterium. Its description in RNAcentral is "partial 16S ribosomal RNA". It matches the Rfam family "Bacterial small subunit ribosomal RNA", at positions 28 to 507 of the family's 1533-position model. The record is from RNAcentral.
GAUGAACGCUGACAGAAUGCUUAACACAUGCAAGUCAACUUGAACUUCGGUUUGGGUGGCGGACGGGUGAGUAACGCGUAAAGAACUUGCCUCACAGAUAGGGACAACAUUUGGAAACGAAUGCUAAUACCUGAUAUUAUGAUUUUAGGGCAUCCUAGGAUUAUGAAAGCUAUAUGCGCUGUGAGAGAGCUUUGCGUCCCAUUAGCUAGUUGGAGAGGUAACGGCUCACCAAGGCGAUGAUGGGUAGCCGGCCUGAGAGGGUGAUCGGCCACAAGGGGACUGAGACACGGCCCUUACGCCUACGGGAGGCAGCAGUGGGGAAUAUUGGACAAUGGACCAAGAGUCUGAUCCAGCAAUUCUGUGUGCACGAUGAAGUUUUUCGGAAUGUAAAGUGCUUUCAGUUGGGAAGAAAAAAAUGACGGUACCAACAGAAGAAGUGACGGCUAAAUACGUG